This 254-nucleotide ribosomal RNA is filed under the name uncultured bacterium. RNAcentral's name for it is "partial 16S ribosomal RNA". It matches the Rfam family "Bacterial small subunit ribosomal RNA", at positions 524 to 776 of the family's 1533-position model. The record is from RNAcentral.
UACGGGGGGUGCGAGCGUUGUCCGGAAUCACUGGGCGUAAAGGGCGCGUAGGCGGCGCGAUAAGUUGGGCGUGAAAGGCCCGGGCUCAACCCGGGGACUGCGCUUGAUACUGUCGCGCUGUGAGUCCGGGAGAGGAUGGCGGAAUUCCCAGUGUAGAGGUGAAAUUCGUAGAUAUUGGGAAGAACACCGGUGGCGAAGGCGGCCAUCUGGACCGGCACUGACGCUGAGGCGCGAAAGCGUGGGGAGCAAACAGG